CGGGACGCCGGCGCUGACAUGCUCACCGUAGGCGACGUCAUGGCGGUGCUCGACUUCAGGGAGGAGGUCGGCAACCACCACUUCUUGGACCAAGUAAAGCUUUGCUCGCCAUUGAAAUAAUCUCGUUUCUUGUUUUUUCUCUUUCUGAUAUGAUUGAUGAUUUAUUCCAUUUGCACAAAAGGAUUCUCGAGGAAAUAGCACAAGCUAAUUCAAAAUCAUCUCUUAGUUGAUCAAGCAUGUAAUCAUAAAGUGAAGGUAGAGAAGUUUGGAAUAGUAACCUCGUGGUUUCAUUACCCACGCAUUGGAGAUCCCAUGCAAACUAUUGUGAUUUGUGAGAAGUUUCAGAAAUUUGCAAUUUGUGAGCGGCGUAAAAAUGUCAUAAAUACAGUCACAAACCCAUCAGAUCUAUGCUAUGGAUGCCGUGGUGAUUGCUGGAACGGAGGGUUCCUGGGAUGAUGAGAAGAUGAAUCUAAAUGGUCUGACGGUCUGAGUACUCGUCGGCAUGACGAGGUGACUACAGAUCCACCAUAACAUGCGAGUGGCAAUGCUCCAGGACAAGCAGGUCAAACUAUUGUCCAAAUAAUUUUUUGUACGAUUGGAAGUGCAAGCAUUUCUCCAAGAUGGUUUGGUCCUGGUGUUCAUGCAGCCGGCGAUGGCAUACCUUCACAGAAUGGAGUACGGCGUAGGUGUUCAAGGGUUGUAUCAGGCCGCAUGGGAAGAACCUGAAGUCGCAAGUGGAUACGGUCAAGAACAUAGUUAAAGGUGAUAUGGGAGAUAAGUUCCAUAGGCAAGCUGGAUUGAGGCUUGAUGAGCCGAACCCAAGGGACG
Triticum dicoccoides is the source of this 828-nucleotide long non-coding RNA. RefSeq lists it as uncharacterized. The transcript is spliced from 3 exons. The record is from RefSeq and is a predicted model, not a curated record. Lineage: Eukaryota; Viridiplantae; Streptophyta; Magnoliopsida; Poales; Poaceae.